This 3961-nucleotide long non-coding RNA is filed under the name Malus domestica (apple). RNAcentral's name for it is "long non-coding RNA (MDOM_LNC003402)". The record is from RNAcentral. Lineage: Eukaryota; Viridiplantae; Streptophyta; Magnoliopsida; Rosales; Rosaceae.
CGGAAAUUGAUAGGCAAGAGAAAAAGAAUAUUCAAGGUAACACUCAAAACUUUUCUUAUUCUCACACAAACUAAUACAAGAGAAAUCACUCAAACACUCUUGGAAGCUAUGAAUGCUUCUUCUACUUAUUUUCACUUUAGAGAGCCUUCUUGUCUCUCUUACUUCUUCUUCUUCUUUCUCACUUCUCUUUUCUUCUUCUUAUAUCUUACAUUACAACACACUCACCUAUAUUUAUAGGCAAGCAUAACCAACCAUACCAAGUGUGAAUACCAAGUGUGAAAUCAUCCUAGCCAUUAUUCUUGAUUCUCUUAAAGUAGCCCACCAACAUAGACUUUGCUUAUGAACAUAAUGAACAUAUGCCAUAUUCAUGCUAGAAUUGUCUAGCAUUUUCAAUGCAUGCACCGACCAUUCUAGAAGCAAGAUUACCUUUCAACAUCCCCCCUUAAUCUUGCUUGUGACGCCGAUUGAGUUUCUCAGUCUGAUAAAGUCUUCUUGUUUGAGUGGCUUGGUGAAUAUGUCUGCAACUUGGUCUUGAGACUUCACGUACUCAACUUGCACAUCCAUUUGUUGAAUCUUCCAUUUGUUUUGAGCUGCCAAAGAAAUUAGUAAUCUUAUAGUUUCCAAACGAGCAACAGGUGCAAAUACCUCAUCAUAGUCGAUUCCAGCUCUUUGACUAUAGCCUUUCGCCACUAGUCUCGCCUUGUAUCUUUCGACCUCUCCGUUGGCAUUUUUCUUUGUCUUGUACACCCACUUGACUCCGAUGGCUUUGUGUCCUUUUGGAAGAACAGUGAGUUCCCAUGUUUCAUUUUUUCUCGAUUGCUUCGAUUUCUUCAUCCAUUGCUUUCCUCCACUUAGUAUCUUGUACUGCUUCUUGGAAGUCGACUGGUUCACAAUCAGCAAAGAGACAGAAAAGUGUAGGAUUAUCAAGUCUUUCAGCUACCUCAUAGAGAUCUCGUAUACUUCUUGUGCGUGGUACUUCUCUUUCAUUUAGGCUCCCACUUGAUGAUGUUGAUGCUGGUGAAUUGCCAUGAUUGGUUGAUAUUGGUGAAGCAGGUGGAGUAGUGGAUUCUUGUUGAACCUCUCUUGCUUGCUCCAUCGUCCCUUGUUCAUUCUCUUCUUCAAAUUGAGGAAAGAAAUGAAGAUCUCCUGCAUGCGGGCCAAAAUCCCAUUCUUCUUCUUCGUCGAACGUCACGUCUCAACUGAUCACCGUCUUUCCAUUGUUUGGAUUAUACAACUUGUAGCCUUUUGAAUUUGAGUCAUAGCCGAUGAAGAUGAACUUCUCAAUUUUGUCGUCGAGUUUGGUUCUCUUAUCGUUUAAUACAUGUACAUGGGCUAUACUUCCAAAAACACUUAGAUGAGAGAUACCUGGCUUUCUUCCACUCCAUGCUUCUUGCGGAGUCUUUCCCCACACACUUCUUGUUGGAGACCGAUUGGAUAAGUAGACAGCACAUGAUACAGCUUCUGCCCACAUCUCCUUAGGCAAUCUCUUGCUUUUGAUCAUGCUUCGAACCAUGUCGAGGAUAGUUCGAUUUUUUCUUUCUGCCACACCGUUUUGUUGAGGGGAUCUUGGAACUGUCAAAGGUCGACGAAUUCCAUGUUCUUCACAGAAUUCUUGAAAUUCCUUCGAAGUGAAUUCUCCUCCAUGAUCAGAUCUCAUGGCUUUGAUCUUGUAACCACUCUCCUUUUCUACAGCGGCUUUGAACUUCUUGAAUGUUCCAAAGACUUCUGAUUUCUACUUCAAGAAAUAUACCCAGGUUUUUCUUGAAAAAUCAUCAAUGAAGAGAAGGAAAUAAUUAUUUUUACCCAAAGAGCUUGGUUUUAUAGGACCGCACACAUCGGUGUGAAUGAGCUCAAGUGGCUUCUGGGCUCUUGUGGUCGACUCCUUUGGAAAGCUUUUCCUGAAUUGUUUUCCAAGUAAACAUCCUUCACAAACUUGAUCAGGGUGGUUGAUGCACGGUAAUCCUCUCACCAUCUCCUUCUUAGAUAAUAACUCCAAUCCCCCGAAGUUAAGAUGCCCAAAACGAAGAUGCCAAAGCCAAGAUAUGUCUUUGUAACAUAUCUUGAGACACUUUGCAACAUCGUUUUGAAUGUUCAUGGGAAACAUCCUAUUCUUUGACAUUUUCGCCUUGGCAAUUAAUCUUCCUUUGUCAUCUCUAAGAAAAAGGAUAUAAUUUUUUGUAUGAAAAUCAUAACCUUUUUCUAAGAGUUGACCCAAACUCAAAAUGUUGCUUUUCAUAUUGGGCACGUAGUAGACAUUUGAAAUUAAUUGGUGACCGCCAUUUUCAAGGGGAAUAAGGAUGUUACCUUUUCCUUUUACGGGUAUUUUGGAUUCGUCUCCAAAAGAAACGUUGCCACUCACUGAUUCAUUGAGCUCUACGAACACGCUUCUUUUUCCACACAUGUGGUUGCUGGCGCCGGUGUCAAGAUACCAUGUAUAGUCUUGGUCUCCAUCAUUGUUCUUGCAUGCUAGUAGCAUAACGCCAUUCUCUUCUUUAUCUUCUUUCACAUAAUUGACCUUCUCAUCAAGUCUGUUGUUUGGAGCUCUACAUUCCCAAGCAUAAUGCCCAAACUUUUGACAAUUGUAACAUUGAACUUGAGAUUUUUCAUACCUCAAGUUUGAGCGUCCUCUUUCACCACCUUUUGUUGAUCUUUCUCCUCUUUCGUAGUUGCUAUGGUUGUUGAAGUUCCAACUGCGUCCACGUCCAUGUCCACGCCCACGUCCGCGACCUCGGCCACGACUUCUUUCGUAUUGGCUUCUCUCUUUGUCGAAGCUUUCUUCUUUCUUCUUUGGCUGAAUAUGUAUCUUGAGGAGCUAUUCAUCAUUCCAUUGCCUCUUCUUAUGUUUCUCUUCAUAUGCUUGUAGCGAACCCAUUAAUUGCUCUAUACUGAUUUCUUCCAAGUCUUUAGUUUCUUCAAUUGUCACGACAAUGUGCUCGAACUUGGGGUCCAACGAGCGUAGUAUCUUUUCCAUAAUUCUAACAUCUUCUAAUUUUUCACCGUUUCUUUUUAAUUGAUUGGAAACAGCUAAAACUCUUGAGAAGUAAUUGGAGAUUGAUUCAGACCCUUUCAUUUGUAAAGAUUCGAACUCACCUCUUAAUACUUGAAGACGAACCUUUUUCACUUGUUCGGCUCCUUUGUAAGAGGUUUGAAGCUUCUCCCAUGCUUGCUUGGCGGAGGUUGCACUUGAGACCUUCUCAAAACCAUUGUCAUCUAAUGCUUGGUAGAUGAGGUAGAGAGCCUUCUUGUCUCUCUUUCUUGAAUCUUUCAAACUCUCCUUCUGGGGUUGGGGCAGAGUAGCUUCAUCUUCUGGCUCAGUGUAGCCUUUCUCCACGACUUCCCAUACAUCAUGUGCUCCCAAGAGGGCCUUCAUUUUGAUACUCCAAUUAUCGAAGUUGUUGUUGUUGAGCACUGGAACUUGGAAAGCUGCCAUAGCGUUGUUAGCCAUGGCUCUGAUACCACUUUGUUGGGAUUUAAAAGACUUCUCUACUUUGGAGAUGUCUAUCUCACAAAUAAGAAUGUAACACAGCGGAAAUUGAUAGGCAAGAGAAAAAGAAUAUUCAAGGUAACACUCAAAACUUUUCUUAUUCUCACACAAACUAAUACAAGAGAAAUCACUCAAACACUCUUGGAAGCUAUGAAUGCUUCUUCUACUUAUUCUCACUUUAGAGAGCCUUCUUGUCUCUCUUACUUCUUCUUCUUCUUUCUCACUUCUCUUUUCUUCUUCUUAUAUCUUACAUUACAACACACUCACCUAUAUUUAUAGGCAAGCAUAACCAACCAUACCAAGUGUGAAUACCAAGUGUGAAAUCAUCCUAGCCAUUAUUCUUGAUUCUCUUAAAGUAGCCCACCAACAUAGACUUUGCUUAUGAACAUAAUGAACACAUGCCAUAUUCAUGCUAGAAUUGUCUAGCAUUUUCAAUGCAUGCACCGACCAUUCUAGAAGCAAGAUUACCUUUCAACA